This is a long non-coding RNA of Chiroxiphia lanceolata (lance-tailed manakin), 1524 nucleotides long. RefSeq lists it as uncharacterized. NCBI's taxonomy places the organism in Eukaryota, Metazoa, Chordata, Aves, Passeriformes, Pipridae. The transcript has 3 exons. The record is from RefSeq and is a predicted model, not a curated record.
CUGUUUCGUUUCAGCUCUGAACUGGACUGUGGUUUGUUUCCAUAGGCACAGGCCAAGGCUCAGGGCUACGGUUUUUCAUCCUCGCAAGAUCCUGUGCUGCUGGGAGACGGCUUUAGAGCUGUUAACAUCCUGCGAGGGUCUUACACAGGCACCUGUGUAUGUGUGACCAUGUACUGCAUCGCAAACUGGUUGAGCUGCCUCUGGAAGAUUUAGAUAAAUAAGGAGCAAGAAGAUAUGUAAAAGGAGAAAAUCUGGAUGAAGCCAUCCAAACAACCAAAGGUGUUAGUCAAAUUUCAGUUUACAUCAAAAUUCAUCAUGACUUUAGGAGAACAGAAGGAAGAGAACCUCUGUCAAGUUUCAAUAUAAAAAAUGAGCUGUGACUUUGGGAGCUGUAGUAGCAGGAAACUCUAGGCAGAUCUAAAAAUGAUUAAUCACAGUGAAGAAAUCAAAUGGGGAGUGUGUUGCCAGUGUGCAAAAGUGUAGUAACUUCAGGGUCCUGUCGAUAGAAAUCAAUGUACAUCUUGUGGCGUCUGACACUUCACGACAGAAAACCUGUGUGAGGCUCUGGCAAGAACUGGCAGUGACUGGGAGCUUGUUUGGAAAAUGGCUCUGUCCCAUCCCAUUCCCGAGGGCUCGCUGUGGAAGGGUGACCGGCUCGGAGGAGAUCUGCUCCCCAAGGGUUUGGAGCAGCCACUAGGUGACGAUGUCGGGCUGGUUUCAGAGCCGUCUGACAAAGCUGUUCCUGGAGGUAAAGGAAACCCUCCAGGACUUCUGAGGUCCUGCCUGUGCUCAGUUUAUGUUCUCUUACGGACUGAGAUUGCCCCUUUUCCUUCAGGUUGUAAUUGCUGCUGAUUUAGUUUUGGUCUUUCGAUAAUUCGGAUUUUGGUAAGUGCAUCUGAAAAUUAAAUGACUGGGUUUUGCAGUUGCCUUGCAGACUCAGGGAAGUCAAACAUGGCCUCACUUCUAAGUGCUCUGCUGUCUUGAGGGCAGGCUUGGAUGGUGUGGCCAUUGCCACUUAGUUCUGCUGCUUUGCACUACUAUUGAUAGGAGAGGGUUACAAAGGUGGAUUUUAUUUGGAUGUGUCAGGUUCCGUAGUCCUUCUCUGUGGUCAUAAGAAGCAAGGUAUACAUCCUAGUCAAAACAUAAAUUAUUAAUUUAGAGGCAAAUCCCUUUCGACUCCUAAAGAGGAGACAAGAAAAACGAUUCAAGGAGCAUUAGGGAGGCUGUGAUCCAUCCAUGCUGACACUUCCUUUCCUAGAGAUCAAGGCCAUUAAAGGGCUUCAUGAGAAUUUUUUCCCCUGGACUAAGACGAAUGCUCUGGAUUUCCUAUUCCUUAAUAUUCCUCCAAGGGAAGAGGCCUCAAUCCACUUUUUCCAGACAAUGUCCUUAUGAAAUCAGCACCAUUCUACUCCCAGCUGCAGGUUGUCCGAGGCCUGGUGGUCAGACGAGGAAGUGCCAAGCAAACCCAAAUGAAUCCGACGGAGCUCCUGGGAGGCAGCUCAGAUUUGUUUGCCUACAGUGCCC